CAAUAGCGUAUAUUAAAGUUGUUGCAGUUAAAAAGCUCGUAGUUGAACUUCAGACCUGGCCGGGCGGUCUGCCUAACGGUAUGUACUGUCUGGCUGGGUCUUACCUCUUGGUGAGCCGGCAUGCCCUUUACUGGGUGUGUCGGGGAACCAGGACUUUUACCUUGAGAAAAUUAGAGUGUUCAAAGCAGGCCUAUGCCUGAAUACAUUAGCAUGGAAUAAUAAAAUAGGACGUGCGGUUCUAUUUUGUUGGUUUCUAGAGUCGCCGUAAUGAUUAAUAGGGAUAGUUGGGGGCAUUAGUAUUCAGUUGCCAGAGGUGAAAUUCUUGGAUUUACUGAAGACUAACUACUGCGAAAGCAUUUGCCAAGGAUGUUUUCAUUAA
This 379-nucleotide ribosomal RNA is filed under the name uncultured eukaryote. RNAcentral describes it as "partial 18S ribosomal RNA". It matches the Rfam family "Eukaryotic small subunit ribosomal RNA", at positions 592 to 976 of the family's 1831-position model. The record is from RNAcentral.